This 72-nucleotide transfer RNA is filed under the name Bos taurus (domestic cattle). It matches the Rfam family "tRNA". From Rfam's summary of the family: Transfer RNA (tRNA) molecules are approximately 80 nucleotides in length. Their secondary structure includes four short double-helical elements and three loops (D, anti-codon, and T loops). RNAcentral also lists the same sequence under 4 other names. Lineage: Eukaryota; Metazoa; Chordata; Mammalia; Artiodactyla; Bovidae. The record is from Rfam by way of RNAcentral.
UCCCUGGUGGUCCAGUGGUUAGGACACCGGGCUUCUACUGCAGGGAGCAUGGGUUCAAUCCUGGCUAGGGAA